AAGAUCCACUAGAGAGCGAAGAGCAUGAACUAAGAGUAGUGUUGCAAUUGCUGGCACAAGUGAAAGAAGAAACGGAAGAUGAAGAAGUUGUAGGUGAAGAAGGAGAUGGGGAUAUUUUGCUUGAGGGAGAAAUGAUGGGAGUUGUAAGGGUUAAUUUUGAAGGUUGAGAGAUUGCAAGCUUUUCUUGAACAUUGUUGAAAUCUUGCAUGGAGUGUUUCUUGGGUUUGCAUUUGCUCAUGCAACAUCCCAUUGUUAGGAAUUGAAAAGGAUGAGGAAGCACAGGAGAACAGGAGCAUAGGCUUAGGGAGCACGGUUAUGGGAAUUGUUGUAGCCUCGAUAGUUG
This 343-nucleotide unclassified non-coding RNA is filed under the name Hevea brasiliensis (rubber tree). Lineage: Eukaryota; Viridiplantae; Streptophyta; Magnoliopsida; Malpighiales; Euphorbiaceae. The record is from RNAcentral.